GAUGAACGCUGGCGGCGUGCCUAAUACAUGCAAGUCGAGCGAACAGAUAAGGAGCUUGCUCCUUUGACGUUAGCGGCGGACGGGUGAGUAACACGUGGGUAACCUACCUAUAAGACUGGGAUAACUUCGGGAAACCGGAGCUAAUACCGGAUAAUAUUUCGAACCGCAUGGUUCGAUAGUGAAAGAUGGUUUUGCUAUCACUUAUAGAUGGACCCGCGCCGUAUUAGCUAGUUGGUAAGGUAACGGCUUACCAAGGCGACGAUACGUAGCCGACCUGAGAGGGUGAUCGGCCACACUGGAACUGAGACACGGUCCAGACUCCUACGGGAGGCAGCAGUAGGGAAUCUGCCGCAAUGGGCGAAAGCCUGACGGAGCAACGCCGCGUGAGUGAUGAAGGUCUUCGGAUCGUAAAACUCUGUUAUUAGGGAAGAACAUACGUGUAAGUAACUGUGCACGUCUUGACGGUACCUAAUAAGAAAGCCACGGCUAACUACGUG
RNAcentral lists this ribosomal RNA (497 nucleotides) under uncultured bacterium. Its description in RNAcentral is "partial 16S ribosomal RNA". It matches the Rfam family "Bacterial small subunit ribosomal RNA", at positions 28 to 507 of the family's 1533-position model. The record is from RNAcentral.